Molecule: ribosomal RNA, 230 nt
Filed under: Staphylococcus aureus
Lineage: Bacteria; Bacillati; Bacillota; Bacilli; Caryophanales; Staphylococcaceae
Description: partial 23S ribosomal RNA
Rfam family: Bacterial large subunit ribosomal RNA
Source: RNAcentral
CACUGCCGAGAAAAGCCUCUAGAUAGAAAAUAGGUGCCCGUACCGCAAACCGACACAGGUAGUCAAGAUGAGAAUUCUAAGGUGAGCGAGCGAACUCUCGUUAAGGAACUCGGCAAAAUGACCCCGUAACUUCGGGAGAAGGGGUGCUCUUUAGGGUUAACGCCCAGAAGAGCCGCAGUGAAUAGGCCCAAGCGACUGUUUAUCAAAAACACAGGUCUCUGCUAAACCGU